CGCAUCUGUGCAUGCAGCAUAUCAAUAACGGAGGAAAAGAAACUAACAAGGAUUCCCUUAGUAACGGCGAGUGAAGCGGGAAGAGCUCAAAUUUGAAAUCUUCAAGGUUUUACCUUGACGAAUUGUAGUUUAAAGAAGUGUUUUCUGUUGAAGUUUUGGUAAAAGUUCUUUGGAAUAGGACAUCAUAGAGGAUGAGAAUCCCGUAUUUGACCAUUAUUUUCAGCUGUGUGAUACACUUUCAAAGAGUCGGAUUGUUUGGGAAUGCAGUCCAAGAUGGGUGGUAAAUUUCAUCUAAAGCUAAAUAUUGGCGAGGAGACCGAUAGCGAACAAGUACCGUGAGGGAAAGAUGAAAAGAACUUUGAAAAGAGAGUUAAACAGUACGUGAAAUUGUCAAAAGGGAAGCGUUUGACACCAGUGUUGUUUUCUCGAAAAUCAAUUAAAAAGAGUUGGAUUUUGUUGUGUAUUGACCUUAACAGCUUGCAUUUCACUCUUUUCAUUGCUUUUUUUAAUGCACUUUUCGUUUAACAAGUCAACAUCAGUUUCUUUUGUUGUAAAAGGGUCAUUGGAAGGUGGCUUUCUCUUCGGAGAAAGUGUUUAUAGCCUUUGAUCUCCUGCAAUCGGAGAGACUGAGGUCUGCAGCGUAGAUCCUUCGGGGUUAGAUACAUUUGUGCUAAGUUAUAGCUUUUUCAUAGACAACUUGUUGACUAUGAUUAGUCUUGUAGCUUACUCGCUUAUGCUAUUUUACCUACGCUUAGGAUGUUGACGCGCGUGUGUGCGUG
Molecule: ribosomal RNA, 779 nt
Filed under: uncultured Neocallimastigales
Lineage: Eukaryota; Fungi; Neocallimastigomycota; Neocallimastigomycetes; Neocallimastigales
Description: partial large subunit ribosomal RNA
Rfam family: Eukaryotic large subunit ribosomal RNA
Source: RNAcentral